RNAcentral lists this ribosomal RNA (830 nucleotides) under Vreelandella aquamarina. Its description in RNAcentral is "bacterial SSU rRNA". It matches the Rfam family "Bacterial small subunit ribosomal RNA", at positions 622 to 1453 of the family's 1533-position model. The record is from RNAcentral. Lineage: Bacteria; Pseudomonadati; Pseudomonadota; Gammaproteobacteria; Oceanospirillales; Halomonadaceae.
GGCAUCCGGAACUGUCAAGCUAGAGUGCAGGAGAGGAAGGUAGAAUUCCCGGUGUAGCGGUGAAAUGCGUAGAGAUCGGGAGGAAUACCAGUGGCGAAGGCGGCCUUCUGGACUGACACUGACACUGAGGUGCGAAAGCGUGGGUAGCAAACAGGAUUAGAUACCCUGGUAGUCCACGCCGUAAACGAUGUCGACCAGCCGUUGGGUGCCUAGCGCACUUUGUGGCGAAGUUAACGCGAUAAGUCGACCGCCUGGGGAGUACGGCCGCAAGGUUAAAACUCAAAUGAAUUGACGGGGGCCCGCACAAGCGGUGGAGCAUGUGGUUUAAUUCGAUGCAACGCGAAGAACCUUACCUACUCUUGACAUCCUGCGAAUUUGGUAGAGAUACCUUAGUGCCUUCGGGAACGCAGAGACAGGUGCUGCAUGGCUGUCGUCAGCUCGUGUUGUGAAAUGUUGGGUUAAGUCCCGUAACGAGCGCAACCCUUGUCCUUAUUUGCCAGCGCGUAAUGGCGGGAACUCUAAGGAGACUGCCGGUGACAAACCGGAGGAAGGUGGGGACGACGUCAAGUCAUCAUGGCCCUUACGAGUAGGGCUACACACGUGCUACAAUGGUCGGUACAAAGGGUUGCCAACUCGCGAGAGUGAGCCAAUCCCGAAAAGCCGAUCUCAGUCCGGAUCGGAGUCUGCAACUCGACUCCGUGAAGUCGGAAUCGCUAGUAAUCGUGGAUCAGAAUGCCACGGUGAAUACGUUCCCGGGCCUUGUACACACCGCCCGUCACACCAUGGGAGUGGACUGCACCAGAAGUGGUUAGCCUAACGCAAGAGGGCGA